CUGGAUCUUACAAACGAUGCUACGCACCCCGCAAGGCAGGGGCCCCCCUUGACCGUGAAAGGCAGGCAGAACUCAGUGAGGAUAUUUCAGACAGCACUUGAAAUUAAUAUUUUAUGUACACAUACACACACACACACAUACAACACACAAAAAGACAAUAAGAGGAAAAAAUUUUGGGAAAUUUGCUGUUCAUGUGACUUUCUGCAAGGACACAGAACACACUUGUUUCCAAAGUUCCAAAGGUCUGGGUUCCCUCCCCAGUGCAUCUGGUCUCUGAACAGUCCAGUCACCCUCGGCCCCACCCCGUGUCCUAAGGCAGCCAGCCGGCUGGGCCCUGAAUAGCACAGAGCUCUGGUGGUGAGGGAGAGUAACUUGUCUUGGCAGGAUGGGGAGAGAGAAUGACGCACAUAACAGCGAGUGGAAAUCUGAGAAACGACAGAAGACCCAUCCUGCAGGCUGGGGUGGCCAAGGUGAACCAGCAAAGGUGACUUGCCACAUGGGUCCAAGAGGCUGGCAUGGCUCCACGUUGGACACCAAAGACUUCAGUUGAGAAACCAUCCCACCUGCCUCUGCACGCAAGAGCUCUGGGCGGGGUUGGCCAUGUGACCUGGGUCUAAGCCAAUCAGAGCAUCUCACAGCAUCACCACAGUGACUGAGCUCUGGACCCCGUGGGACUCUCUCCUGCUGCUCAUGAACCUGAGAGAAUAUGAGGCUGGAGCUGUUGCAGAUCCUGAGGGGAGGGCCUGCCUGCGAGGGUGCCAACUUAGGGGACACUGAGUCAACAACUGGACAAGGAGCAACCAGCUUCUGUUGGCAUCACGUGACCCCAUGCGGAAAGCCUGCCUGAAACUGGCCCUGUCUCUAGACUUCUCCAUGCCUUGUGCCCAUCAGAUGCUCUUGGGUUGACACAGCAUAGUUGAGAUUUCUGGCAUACGUGACACAGAGUCCCAACUGGUCCAGAAACGUAACAAGUCUGCUUAUAAAAUAUAUCUGGGCAACUGAACCCCUUUCCUUCUCUUCCCAAGUCCCUAUCUUGGCCCACACCAUGGGAACUUCCUGGGAAAGCAUGGAGGAGCAUGCUUGAGCCCAAACGUCCAUCCCUCACUCUCUCCUCUCCACAAGAGGAAAGACCCACACUAGUGGGGCCGGCGGAGUUGGAGUUGAUGGUUCAAGGCAGGGCUGAUGCCUCCCGGCCAGUCACGGCUCCUUCCAGCUCUACCCACAGAAAGCAGAUUAGAGGUUACCAGGGGCUGGGGCAGAGGGAGUGGGGAGUUAUUGCUUAAUGGAUACAGUAUCUAUUUGCAGUGAUGAAAAAGUUGUGAAAAUAGAUAGUGAUGAUGGUUAUACAACAUUGUGAAUGUACUCAACGUCACUGAAUUGUAUGGUUUAAAAUGGCAAGUUAUAUAUAUGUAUACAUUUAUAUAGACAUACUUAUAUAUAUAACAUAUCCAUUAAAAAUUUACCAUAAUAAAAG
RNAcentral lists this long non-coding RNA (1474 nucleotides) under Equus asinus (donkey). RNAcentral's name for it is "lncRNA (ENSEASG00005024908.1)". The record is from RNAcentral. Lineage: Eukaryota; Metazoa; Chordata; Mammalia; Perissodactyla; Equidae.